UACUGUGCGUGUCAGAUGACUCUCCUGAGC
This 30-nucleotide non-coding RNA is filed under the name Mus musculus (house mouse). The record is from RNAcentral. Lineage: Eukaryota; Metazoa; Chordata; Mammalia; Rodentia; Muridae.